UGAGGAAUAUUGGACAAUGGGCGAAAGCCUGAUCCAGCCAUGCCGCGUGAGUGAUGAAGGCCUUAGGGUUGUAAAGCUCUUUCGAUGGUGAAGAUAAUGACGGUAACCAUAGAAGAAGCCCCGGCUAACUUCGUGCCAGCAGCCGCGGUAAUACGAAGGGGGCUAGCGUUGUUCGGAAUCACUGGGCGUAAAGCGCACGUAGGCGGAUAUGUAAGUCAGAGGUGAAAGCCCAGGGCCUAACCUUGGAACUGCCUUUGAAACUACAUAUCUAGAGACUCGGAGGGGAUAGCGGAAUUCCAAAUGUAGGGGUGAAAUCCGUAGAUAUUUGGAGGAACACCGGUGGCGAAGGCGGCUAUCUGGACGAGUACUGACGCUGAGGUGCGAAAGCGUGGGGAGCAAA
RNAcentral lists this ribosomal RNA (400 nucleotides) under uncultured bacterium. RNAcentral's name for it is "bacterial SSU rRNA". It matches the Rfam family "Bacterial small subunit ribosomal RNA", at positions 355 to 772 of the family's 1533-position model. The record is from RNAcentral.